GAUGAACGCUGACAGAAUGCUUAACACAUGCAAGUCCACUUGAAUUUGGGUUUUUAACUUAGGUUUGGGUGGCGGACGGGUGAGUAACGCGUAAAGAACUUGCCUCACAGCUAGGGACAACAUUUGGAAACGAAUGCUAAUACCUAAUAUUAUGAUAAUAGGGCAUCCUAUAAUUAUGAAAGCUAUAAGCGCUGUGAGAGAGCUUUGCGUCCCAUUAGCUAGUUGGAGAGGUAACGGCUCACCAAGGCGAUGAUGGGUAGCCGGCCUGAGAGGGUGAUCGGCCACAAGGGGACUGAGACACGGCCCGUACUCCUACGGGAGGCAGCAGUGGGGAAUAUUGGACAAUGGACCGAGAGUCUGAUCCAGCAAUUCUGUGUGCACGAUGAAGUUUUUCGGAAUGUAAAGUGCUUUCAGUUGGGAAGAAACAAAUGACGGUACCAACAGAAGAAGUGACGGCUAAAUACGUG
Molecule: ribosomal RNA, 467 nt
Filed under: uncultured bacterium
Lineage: Bacteria
Description: partial 16S ribosomal RNA
Rfam family: Bacterial small subunit ribosomal RNA
Source: RNAcentral